RNAcentral lists this ribosomal RNA (253 nucleotides) under uncultured bacterium. RNAcentral describes it as "partial 16S ribosomal RNA". It matches the Rfam family "Bacterial small subunit ribosomal RNA", at positions 524 to 776 of the family's 1533-position model. The record is from RNAcentral.
UACGGGGGGGGCAAGCGUUGUUCGGAAUUACUGGGCGUAAAGGGGACGUAGGCGGCCAACUAAGUCCGACGUGAAAUCCCAAGGCUUAACCUUGGAACUGCGUCGGAUACUGGAUGGCUUGAAUUCGGGAGAGGGAUGCAGAAUUCCAGGUGUAGCGGUGAAACGCGUAGAUAUCUGGAGGAACACCGGUGGCGAAGGCGGCAUCCUGGACCGACACUGACGCUGAGGAGCGAAAGCCAGGGGAGCAAACGGG